CCAGGUCACCGGUGAACGUUCUCAGCACACACGGAACUGCAGGGCUGCCCUCCUUCCCAGCUCCUCUCAGAAACAGACAGGUGGGACCGAAGAAAUCCUCAGUGUUGGAAGCUGACCACUAAAACCUGGCAAGAGAGAGCCAGGGCACUCAGGACUUGGGGAAGAGUUGAAGUAUAAUGUUGGAGAAAGACCCUAUGGGGAGCCUCACUUGACUAGAAGAAGAAUUAGUUUUUCCUUGGACCCAGGAAUCUGCUGAGGUGUUCACAGCCGCCUGCACCUGCCAUGUCAGAUAGUAAAAGUGGUGUGAUGAUGACCAAGUUGGACGGUGAAUGGAAGAUUCUCGACACCAGAAUGACCUUCUGCCUGAAAAGUUCAUCCAGAGAGUCAUCACUUUGUACCCCUGAUCAGCGUGCUAAGCAAAGAGCAGCUGUGACUCAGCCUGGUGCACUGAAGAGAUGGUUCCUGGUUCUUUUAAAGGGCACCUGUGUCCAUUUUGCUGCUGUGGACAUCCAUCUUUCCUUAACAUUCCUAAAUUAAAAUGGAAGGCUUUAGGAAGAGUCGUUAUUAUUAUGAAGUUAUAUUAAGAAAUAAUAGCCUUUAAAAUAUAUUAACACAUUCUUAACAAAUGUUAUUGGGACAGGAAAAUAAAGCAAACAAAAAGAUAUGAACA
RNAcentral lists this long non-coding RNA (670 nucleotides) under Piliocolobus tephrosceles (Ugandan red Colobus). RNAcentral describes it as "lncRNA (ENSPTEG00000017218.1)". Lineage: Eukaryota; Metazoa; Chordata; Mammalia; Primates; Cercopithecidae. The record is from RNAcentral.